GAUGAACGCUGGCGGCGUGCCUAAUACAUGCAAGUCGAGCGAACAGACGAGGAGCUUGCUCCUCUGACGUUAGCGGCGGACGGGUGAGUAACACGUGGAUAACCUACCUAUAAGACCGGGAUAACUUCGGGAAACCGGAGCUAAUACCGGAUAAUAUAUUGAACCGCAUGGUUCAAUAGUGAAAGACGGUUUUGCUGUCACUUAUAGAUGGAUCCGCGCCGCAUUAGCUAGUUGGUAAGGUAACGGCUUACCAAGGCGACGAUGCGUAGCCGACCUGAGAGGGUGAUCGGCCACACUGGAACUGAGACACGGUCCAGACUCCUACGGGAGGCAACAGUAGGGAAUCUUCCGCAAUGGGCGAAAGCCUGACGGAGCAACGCCGCGUGAGUGAUGAAGGUCUUCGGAUCGUAAAACUCUGUUAUUAGGGAAGAACAAAUGUGUAAGUAACUAUGCACGUCUUGACGGUACCUAAUCAGAAAGCCACGGCUAACUACGUG
RNAcentral lists this ribosomal RNA (497 nucleotides) under uncultured bacterium. Its description in RNAcentral is "partial 16S ribosomal RNA". It matches the Rfam family "Bacterial small subunit ribosomal RNA", at positions 28 to 507 of the family's 1533-position model. The record is from RNAcentral.